RNAcentral lists this transfer RNA (71 nucleotides) under Marmota monax (woodchuck). Its description in RNAcentral is "tRNA.Ala". It matches the Rfam family "tRNA". From Rfam's summary of the family: Transfer RNA (tRNA) molecules are approximately 80 nucleotides in length. Their secondary structure includes four short double-helical elements and three loops (D, anti-codon, and T loops). The record is from RNAcentral. Lineage: Eukaryota; Metazoa; Chordata; Mammalia; Rodentia; Sciuridae.
GGGGUUGUGGCUCAGCGGUAGAGCACUCACCUAGCAUGUGCGAGGCCCUGGGUUUGAUCCUCAGCACCACA